RNAcentral lists this ribosomal RNA (1376 nucleotides) under uncultured bacterium. Its description in RNAcentral is "16S ribosomal RNA". It matches the Rfam family "Bacterial small subunit ribosomal RNA". The record is from RNAcentral.
AUUGCCCUUAGAGUUUGAUCCUGGCUCAGGACGAACGCUGGCGGCGCGCCUAACACAUGCAAGUCGAACGAGCGAGAGAGAGCUUGCUUUCUCAAGCGAGUGGCGAACGGGUGAGUAACGCGUGAGGAACCUGCCUCAAAGAGGGGGACAACAGUUGGAAACGACUGCUAAUACCGCAUAAGCCCACAGCUCGGCAUCGAGCAGAGGGAAAAGGAGCAAUCCGCUUUGAGAUGGCCUCGCGUCCGAUUAGCUAGUUGGUGAGGUAAUGGCCCACCAAGGCGACGAUCGGUAGCCGGACUGAGAGGUUGAACGGCCACAUUGGGACUGAGACACGGCCCAGACUCCUACGGGAGGCAGCAGUGGGGAAUAUUGCACAAUGGGGGAAACCCUGAUGCAGCGACGCCGCGUGGAGGAAGAAGGUCUUCGGAUUGUAAACUCCUGUUGUUGAGGAAGAUAAUGACGGUACUCAACAAGGAAGUGACGGCUAACUACGUGCCAGCAGCCGCGGUAAAACGUAGGUCACCAGCGUUGUCCGGAAUUACUGGGUGUAAAGGGAGCGCAGGCGGGAAGACAAGUUGGAAGUGAAAUCUAUGGGCUCACCCCAUAAACUGCUUUCAAAACUGUUCUUCUUGACUACUGCACAGGUACGCGGAAUUCCCGGUGUAGCGGUGGCAUGCUAGAAAUCGGGAGGAACACCAGUGGCGAAGGCGGCGUAUGGGCACCAACUGACGCUGAGGCUCGAAGUGUGGGUACCAGACAGGAUUAGAUACCCUGGUAGUCCACACCGUAAACGAUGAUACUAGGGUGUGGGAGGAUUGACCCCUUCAGUGCCGCAGUUAACACAAUAAGUAAUCCACCUGGGGAGUACGACCGCAAGGUUGAAACUCAAAGGAAUUGACGGGGGCCCGCACAAGCAGUGGAGUAUGUGGCUUAAUUCGACGCAACGCGAAGAACCUUACCAAGUCUUGACAUCCCUUGACGAACAUAGAAAUAUGUUUUCUCUUCGGAGCAAGGAGACAGGUGGUGCAUGGUUGUCGUCAGCUCGUGUCGUGAGAUGUUGGGUUAAGUCCCGCAACGAGCGCAACCCUUACUGUCAGUUACUACGCAAGAGGACUCUGGCAGGACCGCCGUUGACAAAACGGAGGAAGGUGGGGAUGACGUCGAAUCAUCAUGCCCUUUAUGACUUGGGCUACACACGUACUACAAUGGCGUUAAACAAAGAGAAGCAAGACCGCGAGGUGGAGCAAAACUCAGAAACAACGUCCCAGUUCGGACUGCAGGCUGCAACUCGCCUGCACGAAGUCGGAAUUGCUAGUAAUCGUGGAUCAGCAUGCCACGGUGAAUACGUUCNCCGGGCCUUGUACACACCGCCCGUC